This 188-nucleotide ribosomal RNA is filed under the name Amanita ponderosa. Its description in RNAcentral is "partial 28S ribosomal RNA". It matches the Rfam family "Eukaryotic large subunit ribosomal RNA", at positions 1 to 184 of the family's 3401-position model. Lineage: Eukaryota; Fungi; Basidiomycota; Agaricomycetes; Agaricales; Amanitaceae. The record is from RNAcentral.
UUGACCUCAAAUCAGGUAGGACUACCCGCUGAACUUAAGCAUAUCAAUAAGCGGAAGAAAAGAAACUAACAAGGAUUCCCCUAAUAACUGCGAGUGAAGUGGGAAAAGCUCAAAUUUAAAAUCUGACAGUCUUUGACUGUCUGAGUUGUAACCUAGAGAAGUGCUACCUGUGCUGGAACAUGUUAUAA